Molecule: ribosomal RNA, 429 nt
Filed under: Chloroflexota bacterium
Lineage: Bacteria; Bacillati; Chloroflexota
Description: Chloroflexi bacterium partial 16S ribosomal RNA
Rfam family: Bacterial small subunit ribosomal RNA
Source: RNAcentral
UGGGGAAUAUUGCACAAUGGGCGCAAGCCUGAUGCAGCCAUGCCGCGUGUAUGAAGAAGGCCUUCGGGUUGUAAAGUACUUUCAGCGGGGAGGAAGGGAGUAAAGUUAAUACCUUUGCUCAUUGACGUUACCCGCAGAAGAAGCACCGGCUAACUCCGUGCCAGCAGCCGCGGUAAUACGGAGGGUGCAAGCGUUAAUCGGAAUUACUGGGCGUAAAGCGCACGCAGGCGGUUUGUUAAGUCAGAUGUGAAAUCCUCGGGCUCAACCUGGGAACUGCAUCUGAUACUGGCAAGCUUGAGUCUCGUAGAGGGGGGUAGAAUUCCAGGUGUAGCGGGGAAAUGCGUAGAGAUAUGGAGGAAUACCGGUGGCGAAGGCGGCCCCCUGGACGAAGACUGACGCUCAGGUGCGAAAGCGUGGGGAGCAAACAGG